This 2859-nucleotide long non-coding RNA is filed under the name Nicotiana tabacum (common tobacco). RNAcentral's name for it is "long non-coding RNA (NTAB_LNC000888)". The record is from RNAcentral. Lineage: Eukaryota; Viridiplantae; Streptophyta; Magnoliopsida; Solanales; Solanaceae.
UAUUGAGUGGCCAAAAAUAUAGCUGUCUGCUUUAAGCAUGGCCAAAAAUAUAGCUGUUGCAUAUUUUCAACUGUAACCAGUCAAAUCCCAGAAAGGAUAAACUCCGCAGAGUCAAAAAUAUAAGGGCUAACUGGACUUCUACAGCUAGAGAUGACAACUGUUAGACCCCUGACAAAGCUGAUCAGCUGAUCGACAAGCGGCACGGCAAUGGCGAGGGUUUUGGCAUGAUGGCCUUGUCAUUGGCCUAUGUGCGAGGGAAAAUCAACAUGCAAGACAAUGCGGGGGUGUUGUUAAUGGCAACAAACUGUUGCUAAGGCAAGUGAGACGGACUACACUUGUAUUUGAGGGCUAAGGUGUGACGGACUACACCAAAGCAAGAGUGGGCUGCGUACAAGCAAGGCCAAGACCUUGACGGAACUAGGCGGGCUGGAUGGGAGCUUGACAAGGCUAAACGGGAAAGACCUCGGCGCUAAAGUGAGGCAGCUUAGUGCCAAGGCAUUGACAUUGACAAUGUGAUGUUACCAUGACUUAGGUGUGCGGGCUGGCACCUAAGUUAUUUGUGGGCAAACGACUUGGCAAAGGGAAGGGCAUCAAGGCUUGGUGACUUGAUGUUAAAAUCAGCAUGGGCAACGGGCAGACUUGAUCAAGUAGGGGCGACUUGACAAGAACAAGCUACUGUGGCAGCGGAUUGGCGUGCGGCUAAGUCAAGGGUGACGAGCUGUGGUGAUGACAUUGAGCGGAAGCAGUGUCAAAAGCUAAGGCUGGGCGCAAAGCCAGCCUUAGGCGUGCAGCAGCUGGCCAAGAAACACGCACAUGCAGCGCACAUGGAAUGGUUUUCAAGUGUGCUGUGCACAUGCCAUGCAGUUGGCGGUUACAACUGCCUUUGUCCAAGAGUUGCUGAUUAUAGGCUGAGUCUAUGUACGUUUUUAGGCAUGUUAGAGACAUGUCCUACACGUUUUGAUCAUGGGGAUCAUGUCCUAUCAGUUGGGGGAUGUCAACUGAACAUAGGAAACACUUUUGGGGCUGACUACAUUAUAUAUAUGUGUGCUAGCAGCCUUAAAAACGGGCUAAGUACCUAGGGAGGGAAAAUGUCUGAAAGAUAGGCAUAGGGUUGUCUAUUUUAUGGCUUGAGCAUGGCAAAAUAUGUGCCAUUGCCUUACCAAACGAGGGGCAGCACGAGCGAUCUUAGGCAUGGGCUUUUAUAGGGCAGAUUCGUGCAAGUGUAGGCCAUUUUUGUGAGUUGGUGCCUGUCAAGGGUGGCAGCACCUUGCCUAACUCGAGAAUUUCCUUUGUAAUUGAUUUAUUAUAAAAGGUUGGGAAAGGGUUCCCGUAAAUCUGUGUUGUCUUUGUUUAUUCAUGUUGCCUUAAAUUUAUUCUAAGUGUUAAACCUCGAAAGCGAACGAAAAUUGGGUAAGGCUGAGGUCAAGUGGGGACUUGACUGCCGCACAUCGGGCAGCAUUUUUGGCGGACAGAAAACGCCCCUGUGACAAUUGGUAUCAGAGCAAGCUAGGUUUGGUUUGGUUUGGUUCGUGACGAGGUCGAGAUGGCCAUGGACAAGACUACAAGGCAGUGGGUCAGUGUUCCUGUUCGUGGAAGGGACUGUCUUGGCUUAGAAAUUCAGAAAAGGCAAGGAAGGCAGUGAUGCAGAAAUUUCGAGUUUGUGGGUGCCAAAAAUCAGUGUGGGUUGUUUCAAAUCAGUCAGUUGGCGUGCUGGAUUUGCUGUGGGAACGACGGGCAAGAAGCGCAAUGAGAAAACAAAAACGUUGCACUUGAGGGCAAGGACAACGUAAUUCUCAAAGGGGUGCUGAACUUGUGAUGUCUUUGCAAAUAGCAGCAUGUGUUGGGAUCUAUUCGACGAGGGCGUCGAAUUCAACUGGUUGGGGUGGUUUGUUAGACCCCUGACAAAGCUAAUCGGCAAGCGGCACGGCAGUGGCGAGGGUUUUGGCAUGAUGGCCUUGCCAUUGGCCUAUGUGCGAGGGAAAAUCAACAUGCAAGACAAUGCGGGGGUGUUGUCAAUGGCAACAAACUGUAGCUAAGGCAAGUGAGACGGACUACACUUGUAUUUGAGGGCUAAGGUGUGACGGACUACACCAAAGCAAGAGCGGGCUGCGUACAAGCAAGGCCAAGACCUUGACGGAACUAGGCGGGCUGGAUGUGAGCUUGACAAGGCUAAACGGGAAAGACCUCGGCGCUAAAGUGAGGCAGCUUAGUGCCAAGGCAUUGGCAUUGGCAAUGUGAUGUUGCCAUGACUUAGGUGUGCGGGCUGGCACCUAAGUUAUUUGUGGGCAAACGACAUGGCAAAGGGAAGGGCAUCAAGGCUUGGUGACUUGAUGUUAAAAUCAGCAUGGGCAACGGGCAGACUUGAUCAAGUAGAGGCGACUUGACAAGAACAAGCUACUGUGGCAGCGGAUUGGCGUGCGGCUAAGUCAAGGGUGACGAGCUGUGGUGAUGACAUUGAGCGGAAGCAGUGUCAAAGGCUAAUGCUGGGCGCAAAGCCAGCCUUAGGCGUGCAGCAGCUGGCCAAGAAACACGCACAUGCAGCGCACAUGGAAUGGUUUUCAAGUGUGCUGUGCACAUGCCAUGCAGUUGGCGGUUACAACUGCCUUUGUCCAAGAGUUGUUGAUUAUAGGCUGAGUCUAUGCACGUUUUUAGGCAUGUUAGAGACAUGUCCUACACGUUUUGAUCAUGGGGAUCAUGUCCUAUCAGUUGGGGGAUGUCAACUGAACAUAGGAAACACUUUUGGGGCUGACUACAUUAUAUAUAUGUGUGCUAGCAGCCUUAAAAACGGGCUAAGUACCUAGGGAGGGAAAAUGUCUGAAAGAUAGGCAUAGGGUUGUCUAUUUUAUGGCUUGAGCAUGG